This 337-nucleotide unclassified non-coding RNA is filed under the name soil metagenome. RNAcentral's name for it is "partial contains 5.8S ribosomal RNA, internal transcribed spacer 2, and large subunit ribosomal RNA". The stretch from base 1 to 120 matches the Rfam family "5.8S ribosomal RNA", at positions 35 to 154 of the family's 154-position model. The record is from RNAcentral.
GAUGAAGAACGUAGCGAAAUGCGAUAAGUAGUGUGAAUUGCAGAAUUCAGUGAAUCAUCGAAUCUUUGAACGCACAUUGCGCCCCUUGGUAUUCCAUGGGGCAUGCCUGUUCGAGCGUCAUUUGUACCCUCAAGCUUUGCUUGGUGUUGGGUGUUUGUCCCGCGUUGCGCGUGGACUCGCCUUAAAGCGAUUGGCAGCCGGCAUAUUGGCCUUGGAGCGCAGCACAUUUUGCGCUUCUAGUCAUGAAUGUUGGCGUCCAUUAAGCCUAUACAUUUGCUCUUGACCUCGGAUCAGGUAGGGAUACCCGCUGAACCUAAGCAUAUCAAUAAGCGGAGGA